This 450-nucleotide ribosomal RNA is filed under the name Agrococcus jenensis. Its description in RNAcentral is "bacterial SSU rRNA". It matches the Rfam family "Bacterial small subunit ribosomal RNA", at positions 1037 to 1482 of the family's 1533-position model. The record is from RNAcentral. Lineage: Bacteria; Bacillati; Actinomycetota; Actinomycetes; Micrococcales; Microbacteriaceae.
GGUGGUGCAUGGUUGUCGUCAGCUCGUGUCGUGAGAUGUUGGGUUAAGUCCCGCAACGAGCGCAACCCUCGUCCUUAUGUUGCCAGCACGUAAUGGUGGGAACUCAUGGGAUACUGCCGGGGUCAACUCGGAGGAAGGUGGGGAUGAGGUCAAAUCAUCAUGCCCCUUAUGUCUUGGGCUUCACGCAUGCUACAAUGGCCGGUACAAUGGGCUGCGAUACCGCAAGGUGGAGCGAAUCCCAAAAAGCCGGUCUCAGUUCGGAUUGAGGUCUGCAACUCGACCUCAUGAAGUCGGAGUCGCGUAGUAAUCGCAGAUCAGCAACGCUGCGGUGAAUACGUUCCCGGGCCUUGUACACACCGCGCCGUCAAGUCAUGAAAGUCGGUAACACCCGAAGCCAGUGGCCUAACCUUUUGGAGGGAGCUGUCGAAGGUGGGAUCGGUGAUUAGGACU